UAACCUCUGACGAAGAAAUCGUGAAUGUUG
This is a regulatory RNA element of Polaribacter sp. SA4-12, 30 nucleotides long. It matches the Rfam family "L19-Flavobacteria ribosomal protein leader". The record is from Rfam. NCBI's taxonomy places the organism in Bacteria, Pseudomonadati, Bacteroidota, Flavobacteriia, Flavobacteriales, Flavobacteriaceae.